RNAcentral lists this ribosomal RNA (276 nucleotides) under uncultured Oscillibacter sp. Its description in RNAcentral is "partial 16S ribosomal RNA". It matches the Rfam family "Bacterial small subunit ribosomal RNA", at positions 74 to 339 of the family's 1533-position model. The record is from RNAcentral. Lineage: Bacteria; Bacillati; Bacillota; Clostridia; Eubacteriales; Oscillospiraceae.
UUUCCUUCGGGAUUGAUUAUUUUGUGACUGAGUGGCGGACGGGUGAGUAACGCGUGGGUAACCCUGCCUUGAAGAGGGGGACAACAGUUGGAAACGACUGCUAAUACCGCAUGAUGCAUAGGGGUCGCAUGAUUCUUAUGCCAAAGAUUUAUCGCUUCAAGAUGGUCUCGCGUCUGAUUAGGUAGUUGGUGGGGUAACGGCCUACCAAGCCAACGAUCAGUAGCCGGACUGAGAGGUUGAACGGCCACAUUGGGACUGAGAUACGGCCCAGACUCC